UACGUAGGGUGCAAGCGUUGUCCGGAAUUAUUGGGCGUAAAGAGCUCGUAGGCGGUUUGUCGCGUCUGCUGUGAAAACCCGAGGCUCAACCUCGGGCCUGCAGUGGGUACGGGCAGACUAGAGUGCGGUAGGGGAGAUUGGAAUUCCUGGUGUAGCGGUGGAAUGCGCAGAUAUCAGGAAGAACACCCGUGGCGAAGGCGGCUCUCUGGGACGUGACUGACGCUGAGACGCGAAAGCGUGGGGAGCGAACAGG
This 253-nucleotide ribosomal RNA is filed under the name uncultured bacterium. RNAcentral's name for it is "partial 16S ribosomal RNA". It matches the Rfam family "Bacterial small subunit ribosomal RNA", at positions 524 to 776 of the family's 1533-position model. The record is from RNAcentral.